Molecule: non-coding RNA, 202 nt
Organism: Oryza meridionalis
Lineage: Eukaryota; Viridiplantae; Streptophyta; Magnoliopsida; Poales; Poaceae
Source: Rfam
AAUAAAUAUAGUUUUGCACUGAUCAUGUCCAACGUUUGACCGUAUAUCUUAUUUGAAAAUUUUUUAUGGUUAGCUUUUUUUAUUAGAUGAUAAAACAUAAUUAUUACUUUAUGUAUGACUAAUUUUUUUUAAUUCUUUAUAAAUUUUUUAAAUAAGACGGACAGUCAAAUGUUAGACACAGAUACCCACUGCUGCAUUUAUU